RNAcentral lists this transfer RNA (74 nucleotides) under Jeotgalicoccus meleagridis. RNAcentral's name for it is "Jeotgalicoccus sp. Do 184 tRNA-Arg". It matches the Rfam family "tRNA". From Rfam's summary of the family: Transfer RNA (tRNA) molecules are approximately 80 nucleotides in length. Their secondary structure includes four short double-helical elements and three loops (D, anti-codon, and T loops). Further hydrogen bonds mediate the characteristic L-shaped molecular structure. tRNAs have two regions of fundamental functional importance: the anti-codon, which is responsible for specific mRNA codon recognition, and the 3' end, to which the tRNAs corresponding amino acid is attached (by aminoacyl-tRNA synthetases). tRNAs cope with the degeneracy of the genetic code in two manners: having more than one tRNA (with a specific anti-codon) for a particular amino acid; and 'wobble' base-pairing, i.e. permitting non-standard base-pairing at the 3rd anti-codon position. Lineage: Bacteria; Bacillati; Bacillota; Bacilli; Caryophanales; Staphylococcaceae. The record is from RNAcentral.
GUCCCGGUAGCUCAGCAGGAUAGAGCAAUGGCCUUCUAAGCCAUCGGUCGGGGGUUCGAAUCCCUCCCGGGACG